GUUCUGCAAGGAUCCAUGGGUCCUGAAAUGAUACAGUGACCAAGGGAAUGUGCAGGUGUAGUGGUAGAAUGAGACGCGCCCAAAAUAUUUUUUGCAAUGUUUUUCUUUUUUCAGACUCGUAUCGUUGAAUCACACUGAGCCUAUUGAUGAUAGCUAACAUAAGACAUUGCUAAUGUCACAGUAGAGAUGAUGUAGGCCUUAGCCACAGCACCGACCAUCUGAUCUUCAGACUGCUAGGUGCUCCGUAGAAGUUGUGUUACCUGACAAUAGUCUUGACCUUGGAGUCCUACAGCUAUUCGAGCAGAGGUUUCCUGUCAAGAGAUUAUGAUGAAACUCGCACUAGUGAUUCUCUGGGGACAUUUCUGUUCCCCAGACAAGUGGUGAUGUUCACCUUCGCCAUUUCAAACCAUCUGACCUUCUCCUAUCUGGAUGAAUGUUAUCGAUGGACUAAACUUGCUUAGCGCAUGUGUUUUGGUUUUUUUUUUUUUUAAUA
Leopardus geoffroyi (Geoffroy's cat) is the source of this 493-nucleotide long non-coding RNA. RefSeq lists it as uncharacterized. Lineage: Eukaryota; Metazoa; Chordata; Mammalia; Carnivora; Felidae. The record is from RefSeq and is a predicted model, not a curated record. The transcript has 3 exons.